This 66-nucleotide transfer RNA is filed under the name Mytilus coruscus. Its description in RNAcentral is "tRNA-Gly". The record is from RNAcentral. Lineage: Eukaryota; Metazoa; Mollusca; Bivalvia; Mytilida; Mytilidae.
AACCUGUGAAAAGUCGUAACAAGGUAGCAGUAACGGAAGUUGUUGCUAGACUAUACAUGCAUAUAU